RNAcentral lists this ribosomal RNA (405 nucleotides) under uncultured eukaryote. RNAcentral's name for it is "bacterial SSU rRNA". It matches the Rfam family "Eukaryotic small subunit ribosomal RNA", at positions 743 to 1121 of the family's 1831-position model. The record is from RNAcentral.
CUAGUUCAUUUACUUUGAGAAAAUUAGAGUGUUUAAAGCAGCCUCUUGGGGCACUGAAUACAUUAGCAUGGGGAUAAUAAAAUAGGAUCUUCACAAUACUAUUUUAUUGGUUUAAAUUGGAUAUGAAGAUAAUGAUUAAUAGGGACAGUUGGGGGUAUUCAUAUUGGGUGGUUAGCGGUGAAAUGCUCGGAUCCAUUCAAGAUGAACUAAAGCGAAGGCAUUUACCAAGGAUGUUUUCAUUAAUCAAGAACGAAAGUUAAGGGAUCGAAGACGAUUAGAUACCGUCGUAGUCUUAACUAUAAACUAUGCCGACCAGGGAUAUGAGUUGUUAGGAUUAUAUGAAAGUAUAAUCAAUUUCUUCUUAUGGACCUUGUGAGAAAUCAUAAGUUUUUGGGUUCUGGGGGG